GUGGGGAAUAUUGGACAAUGGGCGAAAGCCUGAUCCAGCCAUGCCGCGUGUGUGAAGAAGGUCUUCGGAUUGUAAAGCACUUUAAGUUGGGAGGAAGGGCAGUAAGUUAAUACCUUGCUGUUUUGACGUUACCAACAGAAUAAGCACCGGCUAACUUCGUGCCAGCAGCCGCGGUAAUACGAAGGGUGCAAGCGUUAAUCGGAAUUACUGGGCGUAAAGCGCGCGUAGGUGGUUUUGUAAGUUGGAGGUGAAAUCCCCGGGCUCAACCUGGGAACUGCCUCCAAAACUACUGAGCUAGAGUACGGUAGAGGGUAGUGGAAUUUCCUGUGUAGCGGUGAAAUGCGUAGAUAUAGGAAGGAACACCAGUGGCGAAGGCGACUACCUGGACUGAUACUGACACUGAGGUGCGAAAGCGUGGGGAGCAAACAGGAUUAGAAACCCUUGUAGUCC
RNAcentral lists this ribosomal RNA (450 nucleotides) under uncultured bacterium. Its description in RNAcentral is "partial 16S ribosomal RNA". It matches the Rfam family "Bacterial small subunit ribosomal RNA", at positions 354 to 796 of the family's 1533-position model. The record is from RNAcentral.